Molecule: ribosomal RNA, 375 nt
Filed under: Triticum aestivum (bread wheat)
Lineage: Eukaryota; Viridiplantae; Streptophyta; Magnoliopsida; Poales; Poaceae
Description: partial small subunit ribosomal RNA
Source: RNAcentral
CUAACGCUUUGUGGUAUUCAACCUCUUGCUUGCUUCUGGUCCAAAGAUGAAACCCUUACUAAUAGUUGGUUGUAUUCAUCCUUUUCUGGAAUAAUAGCCUCCUUUACUGCAGGAUUAACUGCCUUGUAUAUGUUUCGGAUAUAUUUACUUACAUUUGAUGGGCAUUUGCGUGUUCAUUUUCAAAAUUACUGUAGCACUAAAGAGAGUUCCUUGUAUUCAAUAUCCUUAUGGGGGAAAAGGAUACCCAAAGGAGUGAAUAGGGAUUUCUUAUCAACACCGAAGAGUGGAGUUUCUUUUUGUUCACAAAAUAUACCAAAAAUUCAAGUUAAUACAAGAAAUAUGAUAGGAUCCUUUUACUACGUCUUUUGGAGCUAA